This 484-nucleotide ribosomal RNA is filed under the name uncultured bacterium. RNAcentral describes it as "partial 16S ribosomal RNA". It matches the Rfam family "Bacterial small subunit ribosomal RNA", at positions 46 to 523 of the family's 1533-position model. The record is from RNAcentral.
GCUUAACACAUGCAAGUCGAGCGGUAACAUGACUAGUAGCAAUACUAGUUGAUGACGAGCGGCGGACGGGUGAGUAACACGUAGGAACUUGCCCAGUAGUGGGGGACAACCAAGGGAAACUUUGGCUAAUACCGCAUAUUCUCGAGAGAGGAAAGCUGCCGCAAGGUGGCGCUAUUGGAGAGGUCUGCGUCCGAUUAGCUAGUUGGUAGGGUAAAAGCCUACCAAGGCGAGGAUCGGUAACUGGUCUGAGAGGACGACCAGUCACACUGGGACUGAGACACGGCCCAGACUCCUACGGGAGGCAGCAGUGGGGAAUCUUGGACAAUGGGGGCAACCCUGAUCCAGCGAUGCCGCGUGAGUGAAGAAGGCCUUCGGGUCGUAAAGCUCUUUAGGCUGGGAAGAAGGUUGGUAGUUUAAGAGAUAAUCAAUUUGACUGUACCCGCAGAAUAAGCACCGGCAAACUCUGUGCCAGCCGCCGCUGUAA